This 436-nucleotide ribosomal RNA is filed under the name uncultured bacterium. Its description in RNAcentral is "partial 16S ribosomal RNA". It matches the Rfam family "Bacterial small subunit ribosomal RNA", at positions 29 to 507 of the family's 1533-position model. The record is from RNAcentral.
AGCGAACGCUGGCGGCAGGCUUAACACGUGCAAGUCGAGCGGGCAUCCUUGUGGUGUCCGCGGCAGACGGGUGAGUAACGCGUGGGAACGUGCCCUUCGGUUCGGAAUAACUCAGGGAAACUUGAGCUAAUACCGGAUACGUGCGAGAGCAGAAAGGUUUAUCUGCCGAAGGAUCGGCCCGCGUCUGAUUAGCUAGUUGGUGAGGUUAUGGCUCACCAAGGCGACGAUCAGUAGCUGGUCUGAGAGGAUGAUCAGCCACACUGGGACUGAGACACGGCCCAGACUCCUACGGGAGGCAGCAGUGGGGAAUAUUGGACAAUGGGGGCAACCCUGAUCCAGCCAUGCCGCGUGAGUGAUGACGGCCUAGGGUUGUAAAGCUCUUUUCUCCGGGACGAUAAUGACGGUACCGGAGGAAUAAGCCCCGGCUAACUUCGUG